RNAcentral lists this ribosomal RNA (509 nucleotides) under uncultured bacterium. RNAcentral's name for it is "bacterial SSU rRNA". It matches the Rfam family "Bacterial small subunit ribosomal RNA", at positions 29 to 504 of the family's 1533-position model. The record is from RNAcentral.
AACGAACGCUGGCGGCGUGGAUUAGGUAUGCAAGUCGAACGGGAACCUUACAACUGAUCCUUCGGGUGAAGAUGUUUGGGAAACGUGGCGAACGGGUGAGUAAUGGAUAGACAACCUGCCCUUAACACCGGGAUAAUCCAUCGAAAGGUGGGGUAAUACCGGAUGGUAUAAUUUCUUUUCGGAGUAAUUAUUAAAGGUGGCUUCGGCUUCCGGUUAAGGAGGGGUCUAUCUCCUAUUAGCUUGUUGGUGAGGUAACGGCUCACCAAGGCCGAGAUGGGUAGGGGGCCUUAGCGGGCGAUCCCCCACACUGGGACUGAGACACUGCCCAGGUUCCUACGGGAGGCUGCAAUCGAGAAUCCUCCGCAAUGGGCGAAAGCCUGACGGGGUAACGCCGCGUGACUGAUGAAGGCCCUUACGGGUCGUAAAAGUCUUACAGGGAAUACGAAAGAUAUUAUGGCUAAUAUCUAUAAUAUUUGACAUUAAUCCCAGAUGAAGUCACGGCUAAAUAU